CAAAAUUUCGUUCUAAAGAUUUU
This 23-nucleotide microRNA is filed under the name Ciona intestinalis (vase tunicate). RNAcentral's name for it is "cin-miR-5611-3p". The record is from miRBase by way of RNAcentral. Lineage: Eukaryota; Metazoa; Chordata; Ascidiacea; Phlebobranchia; Cionidae.